Engraulis encrasicolus (European anchovy) is the source of this 237-nucleotide long non-coding RNA. RefSeq lists it as uncharacterized. NCBI's taxonomy places the organism in Eukaryota, Metazoa, Chordata, Actinopteri, Clupeiformes, Engraulidae. The transcript has 2 exons. The record is from RefSeq and is a predicted model, not a curated record.
UUUCACUGGAUCUCAAAAUAAAACGAGAAAGCUGAGGUGAAUCGCGGCAACCAACUGGAAAACCAUCAAACUAGCCUACUCAAGUAGCUGGAUGAGCACCACGAUGAGAAGAGCGAUGAUCUGAUGUCAUGACACAUUGGAUGUAUGGAAGAGCCAGAGGUCCAGCACACCAAGUCAAGUUUAGCCGAUUUCAACCUCUUAAUCACACCAACUCAAUGUAGUAAUCAGUUCAUUCAA